GCGGCCCAUGCCCCCCAACCAAGCUAGCCAUCCUCUACCGCAGUAUAAAGUCAGCUGGGGAGCUCCAGUGAGGAGGCCUUUGGGGGACCAGGGAGGGAGAGGUCCCCCUGCCCCUGCUGGUCUCCUCCUCUCUUCUAUCCGAGCUCAGCGGAACUCGAUCGAGCUGCCUGCAUGCGUCGGCAUCUGCUGCGAGAGAGAAGCUCGGAGUUGGAGAUGCCGUGAUCUGGGUUGUCGAUCAGCUGGCGCGGCCUCCCGCGGCAUUGGUGCCGGUCACCGGAGCUCGGAUGGAAGGAGAAGGAAAAAAAACGGGUCAGGUGGCUAGCAGCUUCUGUUUUUUUAUUUAUUUCCACUUUGGUCGAUUGCUGUUGUAGAUUAACUGCUUUGUUGGGAGAGGACUUGUAAAACGUGUUUUUGCAGGAUCAAGCUCCCACUUCCCUCCUAAGAUUUCUUUGUCCUCGCAAAAUCGAUGUCUUUGAUGUGGCCUCGUGCAUGUUUCA
Panicum virgatum (switchgrass) is the source of this 497-nucleotide long non-coding RNA. RefSeq lists it as uncharacterized. Lineage: Eukaryota; Viridiplantae; Streptophyta; Magnoliopsida; Poales; Poaceae. The transcript is spliced from 2 exons. The record is from RefSeq and is a predicted model, not a curated record.